ACGCGAUAGUAGACGCCUGGGAGUACGGUCGCAAGAUUAAACUCAAAUGAAUUGACGGGGCCGCACAACGUGGACAUGUGGUUUAAUUCGAGCCAACGCGAAAACCUUACCUGGUCUUGACUACCUGCGAACUUCUAGAGUAGAUUAGGUGCCUUCGGGAACGCAGUGACAGGUGCUGCAUGGCUGUCGUCAGCUCGUGUCCGUGAGAUGUUGGGUUAAGUCCCGUAACGAGCGCAACCCUUGUCCUUAUUUGCCAGCACGUAAUGGUGGGAACUCUAAGGAGACUGCCGGUGACAAACCGGAGGAAGGUGGGGACGACGUCAAGUCAUCAUGGCCCUUAUGACCAGGGCUACACACGUGCUACAAUGGAGCGUACAGAGGGUUGCUAAGCCGCAAGGUGGAGCCAAUCCCAGAAAACGUUUCGUAGUCCGGAUCGAAGUCUGCAACUCGACUUCGUGAAGUCGGAAUCGCUAGUAAUCGCGAAUCAGCAUGUCGCGGUGAAUACGUUCCCGGGCCUU
RNAcentral lists this ribosomal RNA (518 nucleotides) under uncultured marine bacterium. Its description in RNAcentral is "bacterial SSU rRNA". It matches the Rfam family "Bacterial small subunit ribosomal RNA", at positions 855 to 1382 of the family's 1533-position model. The record is from RNAcentral.